RNAcentral lists this ribosomal RNA (323 nucleotides) under uncultured Diversispora. RNAcentral describes it as "SSU rRNA". It matches the Rfam family "Eukaryotic small subunit ribosomal RNA", at positions 569 to 894 of the family's 1831-position model. The record is from RNAcentral. Lineage: Eukaryota; Fungi; Glomeromycota; Glomeromycetes; Diversisporales; Diversisporaceae.
AGCAGCCGCGGUAAUUCCAGCUCCAAUAGCGUAUAUUAAAGUUGUUGCAGUUAAAAAGCUCGUAGUUGAACUUCGGGGUCUACCCAUUGGUCAGGCUUAAUUGUCUGCACUGGUGAGAUGGAUCUCUACCCUCUGAGGAACUUUCAUGCCAUUUAUUUGGUGUGGUUGGAAAUCAGGACUGUUACUUUGAAAAAAUUAGAGUGUUUAAAGCAGACUAUCGUCUGAAUACAUUAGCAUGGAAUAAUGAAAUAGGACGGACUGAUUCUAUUUCGUUGGUUUCUAGGAUCACCGUAAUGAUUAAUAGGGAUAGUUGGGGGCUAGUU